This 918-nucleotide ribosomal RNA is filed under the name Inosperma fulvum. Lineage: Eukaryota; Fungi; Basidiomycota; Agaricomycetes; Agaricales; Inocybaceae. The record is from RNAcentral.
CACAAAAUCACAAAUAGUGCUUAUUGUGAUAACGUAAGGGAAAAAAUUGAUAUUACCUUACUAUGAGUGUUGUCUAAAUAACUGGUGCCAGAAGACUCGGUAACACCAGAAACGCGAACGUUAGUCGUCUUAAACAGGCGUAAAGGGUAAGUAGGCUGCUUUAAAUAUCUAAAUUAAUCUAAGCUAAUUAAUAAUUUUCUAUUAGUUGCUUCCUAAGCAACAAAAAAUUUCAAAUUAAAUAUAUAAAUUAUAAAUAACACACUUAAAAUUGAAAUUACUUGUUUUGCUAAUAGAAGCUAGUUACUUAUAACAGCUAAUAUUAUAAUUAUUCUUUUCUAUUAAAUUAGAAUCACUUAAAGCUAGAAUCAUAAUUGAGAUAAACCAAAUAAUACUUAAGUGUAAGGGCGAUAUCUGAAAAUACUAAGUAGAAUACUAACGGUGAAAACUUUUUAUCUAGGAAUGAUUGACGCUGAGGUACGAAAGUGAGAACAGGGAAUAGGAUGUGCGACUUGAAAGCUUAAAUAAUAUAUAGUAUUCUAAGAAUACAUUAUCUUUCGUCUGAUAAUAGCCAACCUAAACAUGCAUAAUUAGUAAUGAUUUUGUGUGAAGCUUUAGGGUAAAAUUAAUUAAGGUUAUCCACCUGUGUUAUAUUAAUAUAUAACAUUUAAUGAAGGCUGAUUUCUAUGGUUAGGGAAACCGAACUUAUGUAAAUAAAGCUUAUUAAUAAGACCAAUAAUCGUCCUAGUUAUUGGUAGACGAACAUAUUUAUUAAUAUAGCAAAGUAAGAACCUAAGGAAAUCUAACGUAUAUAUUUAGGAACAAGGUAAUGCCUAUAACUUGCUUUUAUUUAGCUAGAAAUACAAAACUACUAAAAUAUAAAAGCUAGCUUUUUUGUAAAAAGAAGUAUAUGGUUAGAGG